This 307-nucleotide long non-coding RNA is filed under the name Cavia porcellus (domestic guinea pig). Its description in RNAcentral is "lncRNA (ENSCPOG00000038994.1)". Lineage: Eukaryota; Metazoa; Chordata; Mammalia; Rodentia; Caviidae. The record is from RNAcentral.
AUGGAGCUGACUCUGGAGCAGCGGUAGAGGACUAUGGCAUUCAUUCCACAGCACGUAUGCAGUGUCCUCUCCGUGGGCAGAGAAAGAAAAUAGAGCAGACACAAGUUCACAAGAUUAUUUUACCACUUCUGCAAAAAAAAAAUGCAUCUAUGAAGUCAUAAAGACCAAUACAAUAAGAAGCCCCUGAGAAGCCCAGAGAAAGGAUUGCAAGGAAGGGGCUCUUCAACACUCUCUUGGGAACACAAUAGUAGAAUCACUCUGUGGUGUGCUAAAGGUCCCACCCUGCCUAAGGAAACACAAAGGAAAA